Non-coding RNA from Rhinolophus ferrumequinum (greater horseshoe bat), 593 nucleotides. The record is from the annotation of a RefSeq genome assembly. Lineage: Eukaryota; Metazoa; Chordata; Mammalia; Chiroptera; Rhinolophidae.
AGGACAUUUGCAAGAGUUUGUCUCUCUGAUUGGCUGGGCAACCAGGUGCAGAAUCCUGUUUUCUGAAGCAGAACAUUGCACAGAUCUAGGUUGCAGAACGUUAUUCUGCUGAGGAUACUUGGGGAGGAUAAAUGGAGAAGUAUCUUUUGCCAGCCUCACUGAUAAUCCUAUGGCUUCAUCUUGACAAAGCGAGCAGCGCAUCGAACGUGGAACAGAAUCCUCAGUCCCUGCAUGUUCAGGAAGGAAAGAGCACCAACUUCACCUGCCGUUUCCCUUCCAGCUCUUUUUAUGCUUUACACUGGUACAGAUGGGAACCUGCAAAAAGCCCCCAGAUCCUGUUUUUGUUCAGAUCAAAUGGGGAUGAAAAGGAGGAAGGACGAGUUAAAGGCACUCUUGAUACUAAGAAUGGUUACAGCUACUUGUACAUCAAAGGAUCCCAGCCUGAAGACUCAGCCACAUACCUCUGUGCCUUUGGCACAGUGCUCUUCAGGCACCUGCAGCCCAUACGAAAACCCAUGGCUGGUGCUACUCUGGUACCUGUGUGGAUGAAAAGCCAUGUAUGGGGUGGAAAAGACACAUUCAAGGAAUUAUAA